CAGGGCCUAAGGCCUCCAGUCUUGGAGGGGCGGCGCUCACCAAGUCCACUGCUGGGCCUGGACCAGGGGGUGUGCUGUCGGGUACUGGGGGGUGCUGGCCGAGCUGUACUGGGCGUUGUAUUGCAUGUGCUGCAGCGACUGCGCGCUGUAGGCGGAAAAGGGGAUGCCUGCCUGGAAGGUGGCAGCUGCCAGGUCCUGGGCUUUGAGCGCGUGGCACGGUUUGCCGUCCCUGACCAAGACCGGCACUGCCACACGGCGCGGCGAGGGUAGAGGCGUCACCUCCAUACCUUUCUCAGCCCGGGCACGUUUCAUCUUGUAGCGAUGGUUUUGGAACCAGAUCUUGACCUGCGUGGGCGUGAGACGGAUGAGGCUGGCCAGGUGCUCGCGCUCGGGCGCCGACAGGUACCGCUGCUGCCGGAAGCGCC
Molecule: long non-coding RNA, 425 nt
Filed under: Rattus norvegicus (Norway rat)
Lineage: Eukaryota; Metazoa; Chordata; Mammalia; Rodentia; Muridae
Description: long non-coding RNA NONRATT018687
Source: RNAcentral